RNAcentral lists this ribosomal RNA (254 nucleotides) under uncultured bacterium. RNAcentral's name for it is "partial 16S ribosomal RNA". It matches the Rfam family "Bacterial small subunit ribosomal RNA", at positions 524 to 776 of the family's 1533-position model. The record is from RNAcentral.
UACGUAGGGUGCAAGCGUUUAAUCGGAAUUACUGGGCGUAAAGCGUGCGCAGGCGGCUUUGCAAGACAGAUGUGAAAUCCCCGGGCUUAACCUGGGAACUGCAUUUGUGACUGCACGGCUAGAGUGUGUCAGAGGGGGGUAGAAUUCCACGUGUAGCAGUGAAAUGCGUAGAGAUGUGGAGGAAUACCGAUGGCGAAGGCGGGUUGCUGGGCUGAUACUGACGCUGAGGCGCGAAAGCCAGGGGAGCGAACGGG